GACGAACGCUGGCGGCGUGCUUAACACAUGCAAGUCGAACGGAAAGGCCUGCUUUCCCUUGUGGAUUGCGGGUACUCGAGUGGCGAACGGGUGAGUAACACGUGAGUGAUCUGCCCCCAACUUGGGUAUAAGCCUGGGAAACUGGGUCUAAUUCCCGAUAGGAAUGCAGGGUGGUGCCUGUGGUGGCAAACGAUUUUCUAGUGGUUGGGGAUGAGCUCGCGGCCUAUCAGCUUGGUGGUGGGGUAAUGGCCUACCAAGGCGGCGACGGGUAGCCGGCCUGGGAGGGGGGACGGCCACAUUGGGACUGGGAUACGGCCCAGACUGCAGCGGGAGGCAGCAGUGGGGAGUAUUGGACCAUGGGCGGAAGCCUGAUGCAGCGACGCCGCGUGAGGGAUGACGGCCUUCGGGUUGUAAACUCCUGGCGACCGCGAGGAAGCCACCUGGUUGGAAGGGUGGUGACGGUAGUGGUAGAAGAAGCACCGGCUAACUACGUG
This 494-nucleotide ribosomal RNA is filed under the name uncultured bacterium. RNAcentral's name for it is "partial 16S ribosomal RNA". It matches the Rfam family "Bacterial small subunit ribosomal RNA", at positions 28 to 507 of the family's 1533-position model. The record is from RNAcentral.